Molecule: RNA transcript, 2162 nt
Organism: Culex pipiens pallens (northern house mosquito)
Lineage: Eukaryota; Metazoa; Arthropoda; Insecta; Diptera; Culicidae
Exons: 2
Source: RefSeq, a predicted model, not a curated record
UAUGGUACGUUCGUUUGAGGGCUAGUUCCGCACUGAGUGCCGCACUCAGAGCUGUCAAAGUGUUUGUUUGAAGAAACUAGCGCUGGUGCCGCACGAGUUUCGCCUCCAUCUUGGAACUGAAAGUGCGAGUGCCGCACUCGAUUUUUUUCUAGUUUCGUGCGAGUUUCUCGCACACCAACAAACGAUGUUUGUAAACAUCGAAAUCAGCUGUUCGUUCAAAACAUGAUACGAGAAGCUGAUUUUGUUGUUGUUUUCGAUUUGUUCGCGUGUGAAUGGUGAAAAAUUGGACAAAUUGGAUUGCGGUUAUCAAAAUUCCGCUAUCACGACGACUGGACUUUUCGCUGGGGCACUUUUCGACCAAUUCUCAUUCAAGGACCCGAAGAAGCCCAAGGCGGAGGAGGGCGAGGGUAUCGGGCAGGUGCCGAUGCGGAAGAUUAUCGUGGUGGUGCAGCGGAUGGGCGAGUACGUACCAAGCGUACCAAGCGGAUCGCACGGGCUGUUGGAGCACACUCUCACCAUAGAUCACUGCACCGGAGACAAGUGGUACAUGUUUAGGCGAGUCCCAUUUUUUUACUUCGCUAGUAGGAUGUUUGAAGUUUCUUUCGACAUUCCAGAUUCUUCGAAAAAAAAAACGCCGAGGCCAAGAACCAGGUGGCCGAAAAGAAGGCUGCCGCCCGUGGUCAGGAUGACGUUUACGACGAAGUCCCUGGACGAUGACGAGUUUGAUUUGUACCUGGAUCGGAGGUAUGAAUGAUCGCGAUAUCCUCCGCAACUUGCAGCGCAAGCUCAAAUCGGUCCUUCAACCGUCGCAAGCAGUACCCUUUGGAACUGGUGCUGACACCGAUUCGUGAGUUGGACAAGCAAAUCUUCAAAUAGUCAAAGAAACGUCUUGUAUUCCCUUUCCCGUGCUGGACGAGGCAGACCGUAGCUGGACUUGGGAUUCAAGGGCCACCAGAAGAGUUGAAUCGAGUGCUAAUAAUAAAAUUGUGAAAUAAUUUGCUUUAAAAUAUAUACUUCAGCGUAAAAUGACUUGCUUUUAUUUAUUCUUAACUGAAAUUAAAUUUCACUAUUUAAAACCCUUUAAGUACCACGUGGAAAUUUAAUAUUCAAAAAAUCAUAUCUUGGCUCAAACACAACCAAUUUUCGAUGUUUUGGGCUUGUUCGCUCAGGAUUUUAAUACGGAACACGAUGCAAUCGGAAAAAAUCCGGAUUCCGGUUCCCUGGCCGGAGAUAUUCCGGAUUUCCCAGGGCCAGAUUGGGGCUACGCUAGCCGAGUCAUUUUUCUGAUUACAAAAACCAUCCAAAAAAGAUGAAUACGAGUGAAAUACUAUGGAAUUUUAUCAUCUGCAAUCAAACGAAGGCCAUUUUAUUGAACUAGAACCAUGUUGGACACGGGAAACCCGGUCAGUAACCUGGGACCGGUUCCAGGGUCCCGGCGAGGGUCCCGGUCAUAAUCCGAAGAUAUGACCAGUACACUUUUCUUGUCCAAAGUGGACAUGUCUAUGUUCAUGAAAUUGUGUAACAAGUUCGGAAAAACUAAUGCAAUACCAAUCGGACCGACUGUGGCCACCCGGAACCGGUUCCAGGUUCCCGGCCAUAAUCCGAAUAUAUGGCCAAUACACUUUUCUUGUCCAAAGUGGGCAUGCGACAUGUCUAUGUUCAUGAAAUUGUAUCACAAGUUCAAAAAGACUAACCCAUUGCCAAUCGAACCGACUGUGGCCACCCGGAACCGGUUCCAGGGUCCCGGCCAUAAUCCGAAUAUAUGGCCAAUACACUUUUCUUGUCCAAAGUGGGCAUGCGUCAUGGCUACGUUCAUGAAAUUGUAUCACAAGUUCAAAAAGACUAACCCAUUGCCAAUCGGACCGACUGUGGCCACCCGUAACCGGUUCCAGGUUCCCGGCCAUAAUCCGAAUAUAUGGCCAAUACACUUUUCUUGUCCAAAGUGGGCAUGUGACAUGUCUAUGUUCAUGAAAUUGUGUAACAAGUUCAAAAAGACUAAACCAUUGCCAAUCGGACCGACAGUGGCCACCCGGAAUCGUUUUUUUCUGAAAAUGUUCAUGACAUUGCAUCACAAGAUAAAAUAUGCGUUCAUGAAAUUUUGAAACAAGUUCAAAUUAGCUAUAACUUUCAGCAAUAAAUAAAAUUAUAAAACUAUAAAAUUA